Long non-coding RNA from Chrysemys picta bellii (western painted turtle), 1781 nucleotides. NCBI's taxonomy places the organism in Eukaryota, Metazoa, Chordata, Testudines, Emydidae. The record is from Ensembl.
GUGGGGCUCUGGCUGGCACGCAUAUCUUUAAUUGUUGUAUUGUGAUAGGAAAGAUGAUGGGAGCCUGGUUGCCUAGCAACCAUUUUACAUAGACCACCCUAAAGAAAGAUAUUAAAGCUUGACAGUAAAUACAAAAAGGACAUUUUAUACCCUAGGAAUCUUUAAAACAUCAAAGAGUUCCAUAGCUUACCAUCAUAAAUUAAAAGUGCAAUGAGCCCUUGGACCCUUUGGACCCCAAACCUUUCCUGAACAGUGAAGGGAGCAAUUAUAGCUAGUAGCUACCUGGCCUGCAACCUCAAGGGAGGAGAUGGGAGGGGUGACCACGGUGAAGAGUAAUACCAGGAUGAAAAGCAUAUCAUUGACACUCACCGCAUCAGCAAAGGGCAAGGAAGCCAGGAGACAAAAGGACUCUUUGGAAGAAGAUAAUUCUGUUACUUCAUUUUGCAGCUGUGUGAGGGAGACCUCUAAUUUUGCAACUGAAGUGUUCUGCCUGCAGUCAACUGUGUUCCCAAUUGGUGGGUGCCAUCAGUGGCAGAUGCAAGUGAAAGGAUCCUUGGAAUGAUGCUGGGCAUUGUGCUGUUGAUGACACCUGGCUUUUGAGGAGUUGGAAGAUGUAGUGGGAGCUGAGCGGCAACUAGUCUAGGGGCUGAGUUUGCUGAUGUUUCUGUGCCACUGAAGACCAAGUGAGAUUUCACUAUGGAGCAAUUUCAGAUGAGGAUGUGAUCAAUUUCUGUCAUAGCACAUCGCUGGUUUGAAAUCCAGCUCCAGCUAUGGUUAUUGAGGUGCCUAAAGCAGGAGCCCAUGACAAUGUCUGGCACACAGUGUCAGAAGCUAAGUGGUUGUGGUGUUUGGGGAAUUUGAACCAAAGGGGACAUAUUGUAAUAGUAAGCUUUUAUGUUUUAUAUUGUGUAUGAUUUAGAAUGAGGGAUGAAGAAUAAUGAGAUAAUUUAGCAUGUAUUAAAUGUAUUGGUGUAUGGUUUGAUCAUCUCCUGUCAGCCACCCUUUUUGAAUAGCAAAAAGGAAUGGCCUAAUGGGCCAUUUGGUAAAGAUGCAUCAGCCAGAAUCUGUAUCUGGGCUAAUUUCAAGAAAAUAACAGAUGUUUUAAGGUCACUACUUUGCUAUAGGUUUAGCAUUUUAAAAUAAGUAAAAGAAUGCCAUGAUUGUUUUCUUGUGCAUUGCAACUUGAUGUUCCUGUUUAAAAUGUUCUGUGUAAAUUAAUUCUGUUUUGUGUGUGAAUGAGGAAUGUGUGUGUAAAGAGAUAAGUGUGAAGGUCAUCGCUGAGCCAGAUGUAUGAGGGAGGAACCAGAGACAGAGGCAAGGGCGCCAGGAGGCUGCAACACGCGCAUGUUGAAAUGUCAGAGGAGGGCAGAUUGAUUACUUUAAAGAUGAGACAGGCACCUAUCAAUAGGGACAUGAUAGCUGUGAUAAAGAAUGAGAAGGACAAUUUAAGAAAACAAGCACUUGUCAAACAACAAUUGAUUACAGCAUGAUGGAGCAAAACUCAUUGGUCCCAAUGAAGGAAAAUCACUAUCUAAAUAGGGUGCCUUGCCAUGAAAUUUUGAGUUCAUCCUGCCAAGACUUCCCCGGAUCAUUGUAUCAUGACCGAAGGAACCCGGCUCCUCCCUACCCAUGAUCAACCUAGCUGGCCACUAGAUUGAUCUGGACUCUGGACUGGUAACUAUAAAUCGAUUAGUGGGACUGUGUGUGUGGUGUGAUUGAAUGCAUAUGCUAAUAGUUGUAUCUUCAAUAAAUGUGGCGUAUUGCCUUUUCCCCUGAAAAAG